GUGGAUUAGAUACCCCGGUAGUCCACGCCCUAAACGAUGCGAACUGGAUGUUGGGCUCAACUCGGAGCUCAGUGUCGAAGCUAACGCGUUAAGUUCGCCGCCUGGGGAGUACGGUCGCAAGACUGAAACUCAAAGGAAUUGACGGGGGCCCGCACAAGCGGUGGAGUAUGUGGUUUAAUUCGAUGCAACGCGCAGAACCUUACCUGGUCUUGACAUGUCGCGAACCCUGCAGAGAUGCGGGGGUGCCUUCGGGAACGCGAACACAGGUGCUGCACGGCCGUCGACAGCU
Molecule: ribosomal RNA, 289 nt
Filed under: uncultured bacterium
Lineage: Bacteria
Description: partial 16S ribosomal RNA
Rfam family: Bacterial small subunit ribosomal RNA
Source: RNAcentral